This 72-nucleotide transfer RNA is filed under the name Camelus bactrianus (Bactrian camel). It matches the Rfam family "tRNA". From Rfam's summary of the family: Transfer RNA (tRNA) molecules are approximately 80 nucleotides in length. Their secondary structure includes four short double-helical elements and three loops (D, anti-codon, and T loops). RNAcentral also lists the same sequence under 1 other name. Lineage: Eukaryota; Metazoa; Chordata; Mammalia; Artiodactyla; Camelidae. The record is from Rfam by way of RNAcentral.
GAGGGUAUAACUCAGUGGUAGAGGUCAUGCCUAGCACGUAUGAGGUCCUGGGUUCAGUCCCCAGUACCUCCA